Molecule: long non-coding RNA, 2897 nt
Organism: Pogoniulus pusillus (Red-fronted tinkerbird)
Lineage: Eukaryota; Metazoa; Chordata; Aves; Piciformes; Lybiidae
Exons: 9
Source: RefSeq, a predicted model, not a curated record
UGCUGACAGGUUUGUUUCUUACUCUUCUCACGACCAGGCACCAUUUCCCUGCUUUUUAAGCACACUUUCCCGGAGGCCCUCCUGGGAUCACUGAAGGACCCAGCUUUGCCUUGUGGCGGUGUGGCGGCAGAACCGGUUUGAACUGGCUGUGUCUGCCACAGACCGCCCGCUCCUCAGAGACCUCUGCAGGCCCUCUGCCGGCCCCUGGGCAUGGGGACAGCAGAAUCGCUGCUGAAAAUGGUGUAAUGUUGGAGAAAGGCUGUGGAAAAAAACGAAGGCUGUUACUUCAGCUGUACUUCCAGGGACUAUGUGAAAGAAAAUAGGCAAAGCUGAGAGGAGAAAGCUGAGUGCAGCCUUGCUCUGUGGUAUUGGUUGUGAUGAGAGAGCCUGGACUCAAUCAGAACACGAAGAUGUGGCCCAAAAAAGCUGCUACCGAAGAUACUGUAAAGGAAGCUGUGGCAGGAGGAUAUUCAGUCUGUUACAGGAAUGAGGAGAUGGGAGAACAGGCAGAAAGAAGGACUUGGGACAGAAGACAUCUGAAUGGUAAAUAUAUUGUAUGUUAGACUUCAACAUUGUCUCCCCUAACAUCCCACAUCAGCAACCUGAAGUGGACAAGAGGUGCACAGUCUACAGAUUGCCUUUCAAAGUAGCAAGAACUACAUUCACCAAGAAAGAAAUUAAGUGAAUUCUCACCAAAUUCUUCGUUUAUCACAAACACGAAAGAGGCUCAGCUGAGUUCCUUUCACAGCCUCCUCAGGUGUCUCUUAUCCAGGACAUCAUUCGUUUCUUGUGAAUCUUGGCCUUGUGCUUUUUCUGGUCAUUUGGUUUAGCAGGUGGUCAUUUAUGAAGGAAAUCUGGCAAAUACAAUGUGACCCCAUGCAAAGUGAUGUGCUCUUUCAUCUGAUUGGAGAGAUAGUGCUCACUUCUUCUUUCAUGUGUGCCGAAAGCCCUGCAACAUCCAUUUAUUUGUCAGUAUUAAACACGGUUCCAUGUUUUUCAGCUGAAGUGUCUGCCUAUUUGGGGAAUAACAGAGGAAGCAUUUGCAGUAAUCGCUUCUUUUCACUGUUUAUGGGUGCACAAGAAAUCUACCACUGUGCACCUUUGCAGAAGGAUUUGGACCCUGACAGCCUGACCUCAGUGCUAUAGAACCACAUCACUGAAAGCUUCUCCAGAAGCGUCCAAAAAAGAUUGACUGGGAAGGCCACGGUCUAAGUAUUUCUGGUCUGGUGAAGUAGAAGACAGCAGAAGACUGCUCAUGUUUUACCAUCUAAUUAACAUUACUAUGCCAGUGUACCUGAUGCAGCCUGUCUAGUUCUGGGAUCUGCAGGUUUGCAGUUCAUACACAAAUAUAUAUGAGAUACCUGUUUGCUUCACUGGCUAUUGGGAAACAUCAUCACCCCUUGAUAUGGGCAGAAAGGGAAGAAGAUUUUUAGGACUUUGGUUGCUCGGAAGAGCUGGUGAGCUCCACUCCUGCCUGCUGCCAGCUUGUGGGUUGCUAACAGCCCCAUGGGGGACACUGAACACUCUGCAUUUGGAAGGAGGAAGUGCAGAGGCAACACACAGACAUAUCUGAGAUCCACAGAGCAUUGGAACAAGUGGCCUACCAGUCCCAAGACAGCUUUACAAACCACAUGGCAGUCUGGGGAUCAAUCUCUGCCUCAGAAGAGAGUAGAGGACCACAUGUGUUCAUCUGACAUGCCUGAUGUAAGAGCAGUAAUCUGGAUAGCACAUGGAGAGUUGGCAAAGUUCAAGGCAUCUGACCACAAGAGAGAUUUUUGCUUUCCAUUUCAGAUUUGACAAAGGAAUGAUAUCCUGCUUAAGGUGCCACAUGAAUCUGGAAACACAUCCUUGUUGGGCAGUGAGCGGAGAUUUUCUCUGUAAGAUCUCAGCUUCCACUUUCAGAGCCCAAGGCUUUUGCAGCAAAUGGGAAAACAUGGUUGGUGAUCAACCCAGUGUGAAAUAUUCUGGAUUGGUUUUCUUUGUUAUUGGUGGCUACUUGUGAAGCGGCAACUCAGGCUGAGAAGACACUGGCUGGAGCCUUUGGUGGGUGCAGAUGGGAAAUGAUUGUCUGUCCAAACAAGAUUCUUCAACAAUCAGGCAUUCUUCUGGAUGUGCCCUCAGCUGACAGAUAAAUGACCUCAUAAAUCAAAGGAACCUAUGGAGAGUUCAGCGUGGAAAUUGCAAGAAGAUAUAUCAGUGAUAAAAGUCGUCUUACUGUGAGAUUCAGUGUUCCCUCUGGCUGUUUGGGAUGAGUUAAUGAUGUGUGGAGUUAAACCCUCUGCUCUUUCCACCCCCUGUGACUUGCAACAAGACCCAGGUUUCUCUCUCAAACGUAGGACUGGCCCAGAGCUUGUGCACCACAAAGUGACUUGGGAUGAAAAGAGUCCAAUGAACUUUUUAAAGCAACUAGAAGGAAUCGGACAAUGCAGUCUGUGCACUAAAUGAUUGUUUGUGUAAUUAAAGUCUAAAUUGAGAAAAUCAUAAGUAAAGGUGGAAUGUAUGCAUUAUAUACUGGAAGAAACUGCCUGAUGAGUGAUAUUUUGCACAUUAUGAUAUACAAACCAUCCAUUUGGAGAAGAACUGGACUUUCUGGGCAAGUACUUUAGCUACUGUAUCUGGCAUGCUGCCUGUUAUAACAGAUAAAUUAAUUUCUGAACCUGAUAAUCAUCAUUUUGUAUUUAUUCCCACAUCAGAUUCAGAAUUAGAUCUAUCUUUCACAGGAUCUGGCAGGGCUCUGUGUCUGUUACUAGUCUGAUUGUGUUACUCCAGUGUUGUAGCAUAGUGAAUAAUCCCCAGUUAAUCAGUGUGUCUAUUGAUUAAUAUAUAUUCCCAUUUCAGUAAAUACAUAUAAUCAUAAACUAAAUAAUAUAACCAUAAUAAACCUGCUAUAUCCAGUA